RNAcentral lists this ribosomal RNA (256 nucleotides) under uncultured bacterium. Its description in RNAcentral is "partial 16S ribosomal RNA". It matches the Rfam family "Bacterial small subunit ribosomal RNA", at positions 524 to 777 of the family's 1533-position model. The record is from RNAcentral.
UACGGGGGGGGCAAGCGUUGUUCGGAAUUACUGGGCGUAAAGGGCUCGUAGGCGGCCAACUAAGUCAGACGUGAAAUCCCCCGGCUUAACCCUGGGAACUGCGUCUGAUACUGGACGGCUUGAGUAUGGGAGAGGGAUGUAGAAUUCCAGGUGUAGCGGUGAAAUGCGUAGAUAUCUGGAGGAAUACCGGUGGCGAAGGCGGCAUCCUGGACCAUUACUGACGCUGAGGCGCGAAAAGCUAGGGGAGCAAACGGGG